GAUUGCCACCCCGUGGGCGCGGCCGGCAAGACCUGCAAUCAGACCACGGGCCAGUGUCCCUGCAAGGACGGCGUGACCGGCAUCACCUGCAACCGCUGUGCCAAGGGCUACCAGCAGAGCCGCUCUCCCAUCGCCCCCUGCAUAAAGAUCCCGGCGGCACCACCGACCACAGCCGCCAGCAGCGUGGAGGAGCCAGAAGCACUUUUGGACCCAAACGAGGAGAGGCCACAUGGGUGACUGCCAAGUAGAUAUGCCAUUUUGAAGGGCUCAGGACUGCACGUAAAAGCUGUGCUUUGCCCG
This 300-nucleotide long non-coding RNA is filed under the name Ursus maritimus (polar bear). RNAcentral's name for it is "lncRNA (ENSUMAG00000017792.1)". The record is from RNAcentral. Lineage: Eukaryota; Metazoa; Chordata; Mammalia; Carnivora; Ursidae.